This 66-nucleotide transfer RNA is filed under the name Issikiopteryx taipingensis. RNAcentral describes it as "tRNA-Asp". The record is from RNAcentral. Lineage: Eukaryota; Metazoa; Arthropoda; Insecta; Lepidoptera; Lecithoceridae.
UAAGAAUUAGUUAAAUUAUAACAUUAAUAUGUCAAAUUAAAUUUAUUACAAAUGUAAUAUUCUUUU